CAUGUCAAGCACGAAAUCGUUAUUUCACACUCAACCACACUAUAAGCCUAAGUGGGCCCAAGCCACUCAAAUGCCUGGGACUUGCUUGAGUGAGUUGUGGUAUGGAUGGUAAUAAAUCAACAUGAGGCCCAUUGAUGGGCCGAGAAAUGGAAAGUCUCGGGUUGCUUGGGAGCCUCGGAACUCGAGCCCAUUUUAUAUGCCCAAACAUGUUGGUGAGCACAAGAGAGAAAAAAUAGCCCAAUAGCCUGAUCAAAAUAGCCUAUUGACUCAACCAAAAAGCCCAAUGUUUAAUAAAAAUAGCUCACUUACCACCUUAUCCCAUACAAUUGCCAUAAUGAGCCACAAAAACUCCAGCCCCUUGCUAAAAAAAUAGAAGCCACGAAGAGAAGGUCUAAAGGUUCACUGAACAGAGCUGCUGGGAGGUUCCAGAACAUGGGGGGAGCAAGUUUCAAAGCCAAAACAUUCAAGGAACUAAGGGGUAUUAGCGUGUAAGAUGCCAGGAAGAGAAGCACCCUUCAAACCAGCAUAUAUAUCCCAACUCCAUUCCCCAUCAGACUUGGC
RNAcentral lists this long non-coding RNA (561 nucleotides) under Prunus persica (peach). RNAcentral describes it as "long non-coding RNA (PPER_LNC005332)". The record is from RNAcentral. Lineage: Eukaryota; Viridiplantae; Streptophyta; Magnoliopsida; Rosales; Rosaceae.